GAGCACGUAGGUGGGUUUGUAAGUCAGAUGUGAAAGCCUUCUGUUCAACGGAAGAAUUGCAUCUGAAACUGCGAGUCUUGAGUGUAGGAAGGGAGAAUGGAACUUCUGGUGGAGCGGUGAAAUGCGUAGAUAUCAGAAGGAACUCCGGCGGCGAAAGCGAUUCUCUGGCCUAUUACUGACACUCAGUGCGCGAAAGCUAGGGGAGCAAACGGGAUUAGAUACCCCGGUAGUCCUAGCCGUAAACGAUGGGCACUAAGUAGAGGGGUUUU
Molecule: ribosomal RNA, 269 nt
Filed under: uncultured Planctomycetales bacterium
Lineage: Bacteria; Pseudomonadati; Planctomycetota; Planctomycetia; Planctomycetales
Description: partial 16S ribosomal RNA
Rfam family: Bacterial small subunit ribosomal RNA
Source: RNAcentral